RNAcentral lists this transfer RNA (76 nucleotides) under Candidatus Hydrogenedentota bacterium. Its description in RNAcentral is "tRNA-Gln". It matches the Rfam family "tRNA". From Rfam's summary of the family: Transfer RNA (tRNA) molecules are approximately 80 nucleotides in length. The record is from RNAcentral. Lineage: Bacteria; Pseudomonadati; Candidatus Hydrogenedentota.
UGGGGCGUAGCCAAAUUGGUAAGGCACCAGAUUUUGGUUCUGGCUAUUGUUGGUUCGAGUCCAGCCGCCCCAGCCA